AUGGACUCAGACGACGAGGAGGCGCUCGCCGUGCCGCUGGAGGAGGAAGCCGAUGCUGACGUCCAGGAAGAGGAACAUCUCAUGGUCCUCGCCGCCCUCGCUGGCCUGCUCGCUACCAAUGAAAAGCCGCGGCGAGGUGGCUCGGCGCCGGGGCGGAUGAAAGCAAAGAACCGGCAUCGUAUGGAAGGCUAUUGCAUGCUCUACUCCGACUACUUCGCCGACGCUCUACUGCACGGCGACAAAGUAUUUCGGCGCCGUUAUCGGAUGAGCCGAAAGCUUUUCCUCGGGAUUGUGAAUUCCAUCCGGGAGUUCGACAGCUACUUUAAGUGCAAGAAGGAUUGCACCGGCAAACUUGGAUUCACCUCAAUCCAGAAGUGCACGACAGUGAUGAGUAUGCUUGCAUACGGAGCUCCCGGUGAUUCACUCAGCGACUAUGGGCGCAUGGUCGAGUCCACGACCAUUGAGUGUUUCUACAAGUUCUGCAGGGCAGUGGUGACAGUGUUUGGACCGCAAUACUUGCGAACACCCAAUGCGAAAGACACUGCUCGGAUCCUAGCACAGAAUGCAACAAGAGGAUUUUCUGGGAUGCUUGAAAGCAUCGACUGCAUGCAUUGGAAAUGA
Molecule: ribosomal RNA, 621 nt
Filed under: Triticum aestivum (bread wheat)
Lineage: Eukaryota; Viridiplantae; Streptophyta; Magnoliopsida; Poales; Poaceae
Description: partial small subunit ribosomal RNA
Source: RNAcentral